CUAUCUCGAUACUCGUUAUCGAAUAUGAUCGGAGUAGGAAACGUUAACAACUAUCAUGCGUUUAUCGAAUGCUUUUCAUUCACUCACCCAGUGCUGCGUCGUCACCACUUCGCCAUCCGCUCCGUCGAGGGCCUGCUAAAUAAACGAGCACAAGAUCAGACUCCUGGGUGUGUGUAUCUGCGGCGCCUGAAACAUUCGAAGGAGACAGCCCUUUAUCAUCGACAAAUUCUCUGGAAGAUUAGAAAAGAGAAAAAGAAGGGGGAAAGGGGAUGGAAAGAAACACUAACCGGCUGUGGAACUUGGUAACCGUGCUCCGUUGGUGCCGGUGGCUGCUGCGGCAGGGUUAGCAGCGGGGGUGGGCGUCCCCACGGACGGUGGAACAGCCCUGGUCCCGAACGGGAAGUACGGAGAAUCCGGGGGAUAAGUGGCGCCCUCGACACCUCCUCCGCCUCCACCGCUGCCAUUUCCGCCGCCACCGCCACCGCCACCUCCGCCGCCACCACCACCUCCACCUCCACCUGGCCCCCCGCCUGGCCCUCCUGCCGUUGGACCGUACGUUCCGCCACCGUACGUCUGUAAACAAAAUUUUUUCCCUUUUUUUUCCCUCUCGCUGUUUGACCAACGGUACAUCGAGUGUCCCAUUCAACUAACAAAUCCUGUACGUUACUUCUCAAUAAAGAAAAUUUAUUUCCUAA
This is a non-coding RNA of Osmia lignaria (orchard mason bee), 695 nucleotides long. The record is from RefSeq and is a predicted model, not a curated record. Lineage: Eukaryota; Metazoa; Arthropoda; Insecta; Hymenoptera; Megachilidae.